RNAcentral lists this transfer RNA (68 nucleotides) under Gyna capucina. Its description in RNAcentral is "tRNA-Phe". Lineage: Eukaryota; Metazoa; Arthropoda; Insecta; Blattodea; Blaberidae. The record is from RNAcentral.
AUUUAAAUGGCUUAAGGUUUAAAAGCAUAGCAUUGAAGAUGCUGGGAUGAUCAGAAGAUCUUUAAAUA